Molecule: ribosomal RNA, 485 nt
Filed under: Capnocytophaga canimorsus
Lineage: Bacteria; Pseudomonadati; Bacteroidota; Flavobacteriia; Flavobacteriales; Flavobacteriaceae
Description: bacterial SSU rRNA
Rfam family: Bacterial small subunit ribosomal RNA
Source: RNAcentral
GAGUUUGAUUCUGGCUCAGGAUGAACGCUAGCGGCAGGCCUAACACAUGCAAGUCGAGGGGUAGGGUGCUUCGGCACUUGAGACCGGCGCACGGGUGCGUAACACGUGUACAAUCUACCUUUUGCUAAGGGAUAGCCCGAAGAAAUUUGGAUUAAUACCUUAUAGUAUUGUUUGGUGGCAUCACUAAAUAAUUAAAGCUCUGGUGGCAAAAGAUGAGUACGCGUUCCAUUAGCUAGUUGGUGUGGUAACGGCAUACCAAGGCUACGAUGGGUAGGGGUCCUGAGAGGGAGGUCCCCCACACUGGUACUGAGACACGGACCAGACUCCUACGGGAGGCAGCAGUGAGGAAUAUUGGACAAUGGUCGGAAGACUGAUCCAGCCAUGCCGCGUGCAGGAUGACGGCCUUAUGGGUUGUAAACUGCUUUUAUACAGGAAGAAUAAGGUCUACGUGUAGAUUGAUGACGGUACUGAUGAAUAAGCUCGCA